UGUAUAUACCACAUUAAAUUUAUCCAUUCAUCUCUUGACUGGCAUUUGGGUGAUUUUAUGUAUGAAUUUUUAAAUGUUCUGGCGUCUCAUUUAAAAGUAAAAAGUGAAGUUAAUUUUAAUUACAUUUUUGAUUUAGUAUAUCCAACUUAUUUCAACAUGUAAAAUUAUUAAGAGCAUAGUUCAUGUUCUUUAUUUGUUUAAGUUCUUGGGUUAUAGUAUGUAUUUCAUAUUUAUAUUACAUCUUAAUCUGGUCCAACUAUAUUUCAAGGGUUCAGUAACCACACAAGCAUAGGGGCUGCCAGCCUGGUCAGAGCUGCUCCAGAAAUUUACUUGGGGCCCUUCUUUUUAAUGAUGUUCCUUUGAGUCUGAAACCUUACUGAUGUAAACUUACCACCUGGUUUCGAUGAUAUUUAAAGCCCCCUUUUCAAUUAUCUGUAAUUAAUGUGCUUCUUUCUAACACUGGAUAUUGUAAAAAGAUAAUAUAACAUGGUCAAGGUUAAGUUCAAGACACACGCACAUAAGAUAAAGGCAAGGCAAUAUAUUAUUUAUUGCCAAAAAGUGAGGGAUACAUAAUAGCAACUGUAUCUAGAGCAAAUAUAAGGUUCCAAAACUAUAGAAUUUUUCUUCUGAUUUGUGAAUUUUUUACACACAGUUUAUGAAAGGUUAAAAAAAUCAUUUUACUUAAGCAUUUAAUAGAUCAUCUUAAUUUAAAAUAAUAUAAUGACAUGGAAUCUGAAAUCUCUUUGAAAACCUAGGGCCAUUAUAGGAGGAAGAAUUAAGGAGAGGCCCAUGAAUAUCAGAGUCAUCGAGGAAGAAAGGACAACAUUUAUGAAAUGACAGUCUUGUGGUUGAUGUGUUGCACAUUUCCAGGGAGCAUCAGUGAUAUCAUCAUCUAUGUGGACAGUGCCCUUGAAGCUGUACAGGACACAACCUUCACAACCAUAUUCAGUUUGAUCAACAACAUAAACUGGGAGCUCAGCGGUCUAAAAGGACUUGACAUGUGGAAUGAAGGUCUCCUAGCCCACAAUGUAUUCAGUCCUCCCCACUACCCAGCCUCACAAGGAUACCAAUGCAGCCGUGUCAAGUGACAUUCAUUUGGAAGUCUGUGAACAAAAGAGAGGCACACACCUAAAAGUGAAGUUACAUGUGUGGAUGUUUAUAUGAAACAGAAGAGACACAAGAAAGGGUCUGAGACAUGAAAAACGGUGGAGGAAGAUAAACAUUUCAAGAUUCAUAUCACACUGCUGCUGCCCGAUUCAGAGAGUCUCUAAGGAAAUAGCCAGAAGGGCUGCUCAACACUCUGCUUCCUUCCAAGGAAUAAAGAGUUUGCUACAAGCCAAGGAAGUGCCAAGAAAAUGCCAAUUUAUGUCACACUAACAUCUUUCUUAAAGCUGAACGAGGACUUCAGAAAUGUAAACUUUUGGCUCCAGCGAGCACAGCCAGCCUGGAGGGAUUGAUAUUAGGUUCUUCUGAAGGACUGAGGGAAAUUUGAGAAGAGAUCAAAUUAGACACCCAGUAAUUAGAAAAUGUACUGACACCAGAGUUUUAUUCACAAGAGUGGUGGGUCAACUUUUCCAUGGCACCUGAUGUGAACUCAGAAAAAUGGCAACCUGAAAACAGUGUUUGGAAAUGAUUUCACUGGAGACAGACAGAGACAGCAAAAGCUGGAAGGAAAGGGAAUAAGAGACAAACUAAAGUGAGAUUCUGUAAUUGAGAAGACCUGCGGGAACUAGCAGAAAAAGUUUCCUGCCACAGACAAAACAACCUUCAAAGGCUACCUUCCUUCUCUCGUUGCUGGGGUAAAGUUGCUUUUGGAAUACCCACCAAUGCAUUAUACAUAUUUAAAACUCUCCUCUCUGGGUUUAUAAUUUUUACAGAGACAGCUUCCUGCCAACGUAAGUCGUGGAUGUAAGAUGAUGCUCCUUUGUGGGGUUGUAAAGACAAUCUAAGAACAAGUGAUUUCAGAGUCACAAACUUCACAGCUGGGGAGCAUUUCCAUUGCCUAAUGCACUUUCCCUUGAAGCUUUCAUUGUUUCGCUCUUACCCAGUGGUGUCAUUAUUUGACUUACCUCAUCGGGGAAAUCAUUGUUUAAAAACUGAAUAUAAACGGUGAAAUAGUUUUGUACUUAUCUUUUCCAGGAUAAUAGCUUCCCUCCCCCUCUUACCAGUUCCCGCCACAGAAGGGUUAGGCCCCUGUGGGUGAUGAAUUGUUCCAAAGAGUUUGACAGUUCCAGGGAGAGAAAUGAGAGUAAAAAUAACUAGCUGAUUACCAAUAGGAAGCAAAUUGGCCACUUGAGAAUUCAGUGGCUAGAAAGAUGACAAAUGAGAAAAGAAAAUCCUCAUCAAGAGAUGAGGCUUUCUGAUUAGACCAGGUGCUUUCCACGCCUCUCCCUCCCUGCUGUGUGAUGAUGUACAUCCGAUUGGACAUCGUUUUGUGUCGGGGGCAGUCACUUCCAAAUGGGUGUUUGGAAGACUUUGAAGUAUUUCAUUAUAACCAGGAGGCAUUCAGAGGCUGAGCAAGUAAAAUGGAAGAUGCUCUAUCUUGGGCUGUGGAAUGUACAUUUAUAGAAGGAACCCAUGUCUGGUUGGUUUGAUCUGGCUUUUUAUUCCAUCACCCCGUAAGGCAAGCUUCCAAGAUUUGCUGGACUCUGGAAGAAAAUAAAAGUGAGAGUGCUCUUGGCUGAGGAAAUGCACAUUCAAGGCAGAUUCAAGGGUUUCAAUAUGUGGAUAGACUGGGUUUUCUCUGUUAAGAGUCAACUACUAAAAAUAGAAAUAAUUUGGGAAUCCUUUAAAGAGAGGCCAUUUUUGCUAGUCCUCAUUUGAAUAAAUCCAUAAAGUGAAAGAGGGUAUAUAAUGAACUGUAGACGUGCUAGCUGUCCUCAAACACCAUAAAUGUAUCAGUGGUAUUAAGUCAUUUGUGCAUGAAGAGAUAAAACAUUAACCAUUAGCCUCCAACUGGGCACAGCCAUAAGAGUUGUAGAAAGUAAGAAGAGAAAUGGGAAUUUUGAGUUAGGUAAUCAGAAUAGAAUUCAGGGAGGAAGGGUGAUAAGAUGCAGGCCUUGAAGGAUGAAUAUAACUAUAGCAAAUUUCUGGGUGAGAACUGUUUGAAUGGAUAACAGCACUAUUUUCUUUUUUUAAAAAAUGGUUUGUUAAAAAGUGACUGCAAGUGGUUUGUCUUGAAUAAAGGGGUUUGGAAAGAUGAAUUGGGAUGUAGGUUUCCCACGUAUGCAAGGGCCUUCCAUACCAGGCACAGGUGGGUUUGAUCUUAGGAGCAGUAGAGGAACAUGAGUGGUUCUGAGUCGAGUUAGAACUGUUUUAGAAGUGUGUUAUCCCUGUCAAUGAAAAGAAAAGGCAGAAGAAUGUUCUCUGGAGCUUUACCAAUAGGUCAGAUUAAAAGAUAAGGCCACCAUUUUUAUUCUUCUUCAGUUUUGACACCUGUGCUAUGGAAGAGAAGAAUGCAUAACACAGUGCUUGGCACAUAGAAGGGCUCAGCCAAUACUGCUGAAUAAGCCUGAAGUUUCUCAGAAUCAGAGUAUUAUCAUUUCCUAGAAGAGCUGAGGAAGACCUGAGGUUGCCUCAGCCCUCUCAAGAGGUACCAAUGAAUGAUUUGAAGAAGACCAGAUUAGGAGUUAUACGAACUUGAGAAUUUAAACUGACCUUCACGGGUCUGUAUUAUCUCAGUUAAGAAGACAAAGAUGCCAAGAUGACAGGGGGCAGCCUGCUUGAGCAUAAAGCUGACACAGAGGAGCAAGAGUGAGGAGUUUAUGGCAAGGAGGGAGAGCCUGAAGACAGAUACUAGAAUUGCAUGGGAGAGGGGUAUCCUCAAUAUUCAUUCCUGAAUAUUCAUUGGAAGGACUGAUGCUGAAGCCGAAACUACAAUACUUCGACCACCUGAUGAGAACUGACUCAUUGGAAAAGACCCUGAUGCUGGUAAAGACUGAAGGCAGGAGGAGAA
This is a long non-coding RNA of Bubalus bubalis (water buffalo), 3955 nucleotides long. RefSeq lists it as uncharacterized. The record is from RefSeq and is a predicted model, not a curated record. NCBI's taxonomy places the organism in Eukaryota, Metazoa, Chordata, Mammalia, Artiodactyla, Bovidae. The transcript has 6 exons.